RNAcentral lists this ribosomal RNA (292 nucleotides) under uncultured bacterium. Its description in RNAcentral is "partial 16S ribosomal RNA". It matches the Rfam family "Bacterial small subunit ribosomal RNA", at positions 505 to 796 of the family's 1533-position model. The record is from RNAcentral.
GUGUCAGCAGCCGCGGUAAUACGGAGGGGGCAAGCGUUGUUCGGAAUUACUGGGCGUAAAGGGCGCGUAGGCGGUCCGAGAAGUUGGGCGUGAAAGGCCUGGGCUUAACCCGGGGAUUGCGCUCGAGACUGACGGGCUGGAGACCGGGAGAGGAUGGCGGAAUUCCCAGUGUAGAGGUGAAAUUCGUAGAUAUUGGGAAGAACACCGGUGGCGAAGGCGGCCAUCUGGACCGGCACUGACGCUGAGGCGCGAAAGCGUGGGGAGCAAACAGGAUUAGAAACCCCGGUAGUCC